RNAcentral lists this long non-coding RNA (3563 nucleotides) under Acyrthosiphon pisum (pea aphid). RNAcentral describes it as "uncharacterized LOC115033757". The record is from RNAcentral. Lineage: Eukaryota; Metazoa; Arthropoda; Insecta; Hemiptera; Aphididae.
UUUAAAUUCUAGAAAAAUUACUAAUAUAAUAGAAAUGUAUGGCAUUUCAACGGUUAUAACUUUAAUGUGUAAAAAAAAAAUUUAGUUUUCCAAAUUUAAAAAUAGUCAAUUAAGACUGUCUAAUGUUCACUUUCAGACCACUGUGGGCCGUCAUCGCAGUACGAUAUAUUGCCUUUAUUGUAGGUAUAUUGUAUUUAUUUUUGAAUAUUUCCACUGGUUUUUUUGUGAUAAUAGUUUAAUGCUGCCAAUUGCCGAACGCUCAGUACAUUUGUACUGAUUCAUAUUAUUGACAUAAAAUAUUUUAGUCAUACGUCUUAAAUUAAACAUAAUAUUAUGAUUUAUGUUCUAUGGUGCUAUCUAUACCAAGUUUAGCUAGUAAUAGACCUGCAAGCGUUAUUAGAUUGUUUUUAAUAUAUAUACAUUUUUUUUAUGAUAGACUCUCUAGAAAUUCGCUACAAAAAAAACAACCGACUUAAAAUUAUCCCACACUAUCCCACACUAAUUAUCCCACACUAUGAACCAUGUAAAUGAUAUGGUGCAAACAUCCCGGUGCAUUAUUUUUCACACCGGUUAAGUCUAGCGAAUUUCUAGUCUAACUAAUAGUCUAAUAGUCUAAUAGUCCAUGAUAUACCGUAUAGGUACUGAGUAUAAUAUAUAAGUUCUAUGGAUUUAUCAUAUUUAAUAAUAUAUUUUAUAAUAUCUAUGGCAAUCGUCAAUUGUCGAAAUUUGUCGGCGACGAUUAACAAUUCUAAUAAUUUCAGCAAAUACUAUUGUAUUAUUAGUAUAUAUAUUGUAAUAUAUAUUGUAUAUAAUAUAUUGUAUUUGAUUUGAGUGAACAAAAAAAUAAUUAGCCAUCAAUAUAGACGGACAGUUCGUUAAGCUGUAUAUAUCACGAUUUAUGUUUAAAAUAUUUCGAUACUAUCAAGUUUCAGUUCGGAGCGAGAUGAAGAUGGAUGAAGAUAGCUGUUUCUUCGGCGACGGCGGCACUGUAGCUAUAGGUUUCACCGGAAGAGUCGAUGUUUACGCGUAAGUUUGUUUUCAUAUUAUUACUAUUUUACAUUUACUUUUUAGACUUAAAUUAAAAAUUUAUUGCCACGGGCAAUCUGUUAACUGGGUGACGUAGAAGCAUUUAUAAGUUUAAUCCCAAAAGCACAAUAUAUAAAAUACGCGAGACUGAACAGUCCAAAGACCGUCGCGCGUCGUCAUUUCACCACGCCCAUAAUAUGGUCUCCAUACACACUAGGUCCAAUUUAUUCUAUUGAGGCGAUUCAAAAUCGUUUCUUGAGACUUAUAUCCAUCAAGUGUAAUAUUAAACGUUUGCCUCACACUUCAUAUGAACCAUUGUUACUAUAUCUAAACAUUGAUACUCUUCAAAACAGAAGGAUUAAAAACGAUAUUAGCUUUAUAUUUAAACUAUUAAAUGGAUAUAUUUACUGUCCUGAUCUUUUGUCAAAUAUAUCAUUUCUAGUUCCUGGUCAUUCAACUAGACAGACAGACACCUUUUAUGUGCCAUUCCAGCGCGCUUUAUAUGUUGUGUAUUCUGGAGCGUUUCCUCAUCGGCGCGCGGCAUUGCAGCUCACACACGUCACGGACUCCACCGAAACAGUCGAUAAUUAAAGAAGAAAUGGUAUUCGUCAGAGAAGAUUUUCAAUUGGGAAUAAUAUAUCAUAAGCAGACUGAAAUGUGCGAACGUUGCAGUGUUUCGAAGACUCAAAUUAUAUAGCAGAUUUUCAUUCGGACACGGUGUAUGUAUUUACUUAUUUUUCAGUAGGUUUCUUUUUAUUAUUGUUAAUUGAUCAGGAUAUGUAUUCCUCGCAACUUUUCAAUUAUUUGUAUUGUAACUAUACUGGUAUAACACUAUUCUGGCUAUCAAUAAAGUCGUGAUAAAAAUUAGGAAAUGGUCAGGUGUAAUAUUUUUUUGUUAUGUAAUUCUUUUGAGUAGAUAAUUGGCUCAAUGAUAUUUAAAUAUUUUCACUGCUGAUCAAGUACAAUGACUUGUAGGUGACUAGAGACUGAGUGAAUAGGAAUUAGGAAAUGUAUGAUAUGGUGAGGAUAAGGAAAGAGGUCAACAGGAUUUCAGAAUGUUUGGCGUAUGAAAGGGAAAGACGAAAAAAAAUCUAAGGUAAGGUUAGGUUAGCGGAUUGUGUGUAGCAGAUAUGAAAAUAUUAAGUUGGGUGUGUAAGGAACAAAGGAAGAUAUAAUAGGAAAUGUAUUAAUUAAAGGUAGUGUAGUGUUGUAGAGUGGCAUAUAUAUACUGUAGUGAAUAUAAGAGAGAUUAGAUUGAGGUAGACCGAAGUCACUGUAUAUGAUAAGGGUAUAGUGAGAGUGAAUAAAGAAGUAAAUGUAGAGGGAAAGUGAUGGUUGAGAAGACUUAAGAAGAGAUGGAUAGACUGCAGAAUUCCCAUCAUAUAUGGAGGUGUGGGAAGAGGGUGGCUGAGUCUGUAUAAUUGUGUGAGAAGGGGGAAGAAGGACUUAAAGGAGUGUGAAGGUACAAUAGUUAGGUUAACAAUAUCGAAUACGUAGGAAAGAAUCUUAAAUUGCAAAGGCCACUCGACUUUUUGUCUGAAACUACCAAGUUAAUAUAGUUAUUAAAACACUUUGAAUAAAAAGAUCCUGAGUUGGUUGCUUAACUUCAGUGUUUGAUUAUUAAGUUGAUAAUUUGAUUGUAGACACCUCUUAAGCUUAGAUCAAUUAAUACUAUGGAUGGAGCCAUGACCAGCUCACUCGUGUAAACAAUUUGAAGCACAUAAUAUAUGCCACGAGUCUCUGACAUUUUUUUGGAUACAUAUCAAUUCACAUAGAUAAAUAUGAGACAUUUUUCUUUGCGUACGUAUCUUAGUCAGAUACUUGUCGCUAAUAUAUGCUUUAAAUUAUCUGGAUAUGGGCCCAUUCUGAUAUGUAUCCAUAAAAAUGCCAGAGACUCGUCGCAUAUAUUAUGUGCUUCAAAUUGUUUACACGAGUGAGCUGGGUGUGGCUCCAUCCAUAGUAUUAAUUGAUCUAAGCUUAAGGUAUCUACAAUCAAAUGAUCAACUUGAUAAUCAAACACUGAAGUUCGGCAACCAACUCAGGAUCUUUUUAUUCAAAGUGUCCUAAUAAGUCAUAAGAAGGUUAGUUGAAGCUAUGGUGAUGAUAGAUGACUAUCAUCACUGGUCGUGAGCUUUGCAAUGAUCUUUUCCUACUAACUAUACAGGUAUUCGAUAUUGUAAACAUAACAAUGAAAGAAAAUAUUUAAAUAUUAUUAAUUUGGUUAGGAUAGGAUCCUGUCCUAUAAGACAUCAUAGUUUUUAACACGGUCUUAAAGACUGCCAGCUAGAGUUGUACCAGUGUCCAGUAUAGGUAAUUAAAAGCUUAAAUAGAGCCAGCCUUAAUUAAUGAUUUUUUUACCACAACAAAUUAUAAAAUGUAUUUUAAAAUAUAGCAAAAUAUUAUUUUAUAAGAGCUUAUGAGGUUUUCAAUACUUAUAAGUUUUUGUAAAUAGAAAGUUUAUAAAAUCGAUAGAGUUUUAAUUUAAAAUAUCGAUUUGUGUUUUAAUAUCCUAUUGUCAAAGAAUUCUCAAAGUUUCC